This 310-nucleotide unclassified non-coding RNA is filed under the name uncultured Basidiomycota. RNAcentral describes it as "sequence contains 5.8S rRNA gene". The stretch from base 1 to 53 matches the Rfam family "5.8S ribosomal RNA", at positions 102 to 154 of the family's 154-position model. Lineage: Eukaryota; Fungi; Basidiomycota. The record is from RNAcentral.
GAACGCACCUUGCACCCCUUGGUAUUCCGAGGGGUAUGCCUGUUUGAGUGUCAUUAAAUUCUCAACUCUUUAAAUUGUUGUAAUGACGAUUUGGAGACGUUGGAUGUGGAGGCUUUUGCUGGCUUUUCAUUAAGUCAGCUCCUCUUAAAUGCAUUAGUGGUUACUGUUCUUUUCCACUUUGGUGUGAUAGUCUAUCUACGCCUAUAAGUGAAAGAUGUUAAGUGUAGCUGCUUUCAAACCGUCUGGACUUUACUGGACAAUUUUGAACUGUUUGACCUCAAAUCAGGUAGGAUUACCCGCUGAACUUAAG